AUGCUGGGCUGCUUCUCCCGGCUCCGGCGGCCGGCCUCUGCCGCGGCGGGGGCGCCGGCCCCCGUGCAGCCGCCCGACGAGGCGUCCACGUCGGCCGCGUCGACCUCCACCCCGGCGACCUCCCCGCGCUCGUCCUCCUCUUCCGCCCGCUUCAAGAACGCGUGCCUCCGGGACGGCGGCAGGGGCGGGGACGCCGACGUCGCGAAGGAGUGCCCGCCGCUGUCGCCCGCGCUCGCCGUGGACUCCGGGCUGUCGUCGGCCAUCGCGUCCCGGCGGUUCUUCCUCGCCUCCCCGGGCCGGUCCAACUCCAUCGUGGACUCGUCGGCGGCGCACGCGGCCGCCGUGCUGGGCGUGGGCGCGGCCGGGGUGGCGGUGCCGACCUACUCCCCGGACCCGCACGCCGACUUCCUGCGGUCCAUGGAGGAGAUGUCGGCGGCGCUGCGGCUGGACGCGCGGCGGCGCGGCGACAGGGCGCGCCUCCACGAGCUGCUGCUCUGCUACCUGGCGCUCAACGACAAGCGCGCGCACCGGUACGUCGUCAGCGCCUUCACCGACCUCCUCCUCCGCCUCACCGCCACCGACGACCUCGACGCCGACGACGAGCAGCACGGCAGCAUGUAG
Molecule: ribosomal RNA, 621 nt
Filed under: Triticum aestivum (bread wheat)
Lineage: Eukaryota; Viridiplantae; Streptophyta; Magnoliopsida; Poales; Poaceae
Description: partial small subunit ribosomal RNA
Source: RNAcentral